GAUGAACGCUGGCGGCGUGCCUAAUACAUGCAAGUCGAGCGAACGGACGAGAAGCUUGCUUCUCUGAUGUUAGCGGCGGACGGGUGUGUAACACGUGGAUAACCUACCUAUAAGACUGGGAUAACUUCGGGAAACCGUAGCUAAUACCGGAUAAUAUUUUGAACCGCAUGGUUCAAAAGUGAAAGACGGUCUUGCUGUCACUUAUAGAUGGAUCCGCGCUGCAUUAGCUAGUUGGUAAGGUAACGGCUUACCAAGGCAACGAUGCCUAGCCGACCUGAGAGAGUGGUCGGCCACACUGGAACUGAGACACGGUCCAGACUCCUACGGGAGGCAGCAGUAGGGAAUCUUCCGCAAUGGGCGAGAGCCUUACGGAGCAACGCCGCGUGAGUGAUGAAGGUCUUCGGAUCGUAAAACUCUGUUAUUAGGGAAGAACAUAUGUGUAAGUAACUGUGCACAUCUUGACGGUACCUAAUCAGAAAGCCACGGCUAACUACGUG
Molecule: ribosomal RNA, 497 nt
Filed under: uncultured bacterium
Lineage: Bacteria
Description: partial 16S ribosomal RNA
Rfam family: Bacterial small subunit ribosomal RNA
Source: RNAcentral